UUGUUAGUUGCCACCAUUCAGUUGGGCACUCUAGCGAGACUGCCGGUAAUAAACCGGAGGAAGUGGGGAUGACGUCAAAUCAUCAUGCCCCUUAUGACCUGGGCUACACACGUGCUACAAUGGUUGGUACAACGAGUUGCGAGUCGGUGACGGCGAGCUAAUCUCUUAAAGCCAAUCUCAGUUCGGAUUGUAGGCUGCAACUCGCCUACAUGAAGUCGGAAUCGCUAGUAAUCGCGGAUCAGCACGCCGCGGUGAAUACGUUCCCGGGCCUU
RNAcentral lists this ribosomal RNA (272 nucleotides) under uncultured Streptococcus sp. Its description in RNAcentral is "partial 16S ribosomal RNA". It matches the Rfam family "Bacterial small subunit ribosomal RNA", at positions 1108 to 1382 of the family's 1533-position model. The record is from RNAcentral. Lineage: Bacteria; Bacillati; Bacillota; Bacilli; Lactobacillales; Streptococcaceae.